This is a non-coding RNA of Poecilia reticulata (guppy), 1768 nucleotides long. Lineage: Eukaryota; Metazoa; Chordata; Actinopteri; Cyprinodontiformes; Poeciliidae. The record is from RefSeq and is a predicted model, not a curated record.
GAUGUUCCUUGAAGUCAUUAAGGAGGCCAAGUAAACUAAAUCACAAAUAACACAGCAUCAGAUGUGUCCUGGUUCCCUUUGCACAUUUUGUUUUUCAUCGUUUCGUGUCUCUGCUUUGCAGAUGGUAYGUGCCUCUCUUCAGCCUCAUCUUCCUCAUGAUCUGCUGCUAUGGCAGAAUCAUCUGUGUGGCCAAUAACAGAAUGCAGUCCUGGCGGGGAACCUUCAACCCCGAGCGCGAGAGACGAAAGGUUUCCUUGGCCGAGGAGAUCAAGCCGCUGAAGUGGUAUCCGUCUGUUUACCUGCUGGUGUCCACCUUCCCGCUGGUUAACAGGUAGCCGCUCGGCCUCACCUGGCCGCCAUAUAAACCCUGUUGUUUGAUUCACUUUGUUCCGCUCAUCCUAUCUCCUCCUCCGCCGCCUUAGCAUAUCUCGUCCUUUGUUCUCCCUUAUCUGAACUCUCACAAAGACUUUGCCGUACGAGCACUAUAAAGGAAGUUGUCGUGUGUGUGUGCGUGUGUGUGAGAUGGAGGAAUAAAGCAUUUUAUUGCCUUUUUUAUAAAACGGGAGUUUCAUCAGCUGGGGUUCAGCAGGAGGAGGUCCGGUAAAUGAUAACCCCCUUCCCCAUCCUUCCCACCACGGCACCGUUAUCACUCUUUCACCCGCUUYCCUUCCCGUCCUCCAGCUCUCCCUCCCCACCUUCCCUCACCGAGCUGGUGUGAUUGACAGGUCAGGGUUACUAAGUGAUUAGCUGUAGCGGCUCUGCUUGUCGCCACCGCCAUGUAGGCGGAGACACAGGUCAAUUACAGGGUCAACGUCUUUCAAAGGCUCCGGCUCAAACACUGCCCCCACCCCCCCCGUUCCCCUUACGCGCACCCUCCCUCUUUCGCCCCCUGUACCCUUCCUCUCUCUCUGUUCACCUUUCCAUCUAUCCCACUCGUUCCUCCUCCUCCUCCUCCAUGGCUGUUGGCUGAUGAAGAUGACAAACGGCAUCCUGUGUUAACCUCCCUGCUCUCCUUCCUCUCUCCCUCUUUUACGCUCUAAAAGUCUGUUAUAGCCCCCAUAUUUUUACUCCUCCUCGCUCGGGCUUUCCAUCUUUCUGCCUCUAUGUUUUUAUGUCACCACCACCACAGCCGCCGCCGCCACCUCCUUCCUUCUCCUCCUGCACUUUUCCACACAAAGCCCCUCUCUCCCUCUCCUGAGCAAAUACGCUCUCGCUCGGCUCCGCUCUGCCUUCCUCCAGAGAAUGAACGAGGGGAAAACAGGAAUGAAUUGCUCUCUCGUCCUCGUCAUCCUCCUCCUCCUCCUCCUCCUCCUCCUCCCCUGGUUCAGCAGCAGCAGCGGUGGCAGCAGCAGCAGCGCUGGCUGUAUAUAUCUCCGGCUCCUAUUAAUUUGUUAGCCCCCCUCCCCUYCUCCUCCCCGGCCCUCCUCUCCCCCCCUUUUCGUCUCCCCGGCUCAUAUCCUCUUCCACCUCCUCGCCUCUUUUCCACCGUCUCUCCCUCCCUUUCCUUCCCUCCCCUCGGCUGAGUGCCGGAGUGUGUAAAGUGUUUGUCACGGUGCCGUGCCGAUGUCGCUGUGCUCUCGCUUCCUCGCCGCCUCGGCUCCGCGUGUGUUGUCCUGCGCGUGCGCGUAAAGUGGGUGGCUGGUUUUCUGUGUCGAGGCGAAUGUGCUGUCGCUGCUUGUUGCUGCGGAGCGCACGCCGUGUUUGUUCGCUUCGACUCGAGAGAGAGAGAGAGAGAGAGAGAGAAUGUGUGCGUGCGCCUCUUAUUUUC